Molecule: long non-coding RNA, 628 nt
Organism: Scaptodrosophila lebanonensis
Lineage: Eukaryota; Metazoa; Arthropoda; Insecta; Diptera; Drosophilidae
Exons: 2
Source: RefSeq, a predicted model, not a curated record
UAUGAUGAACAUUCCAAUCGAAUCACAAUUCAUUUCUCGAUAAGUCACACUUCGAAACACUUCCUAUAAAUGAAUAUACACAAGAAAUUCUGGAAUAAAGAUAAAAAAUUUGCUUAAAAAAUGCAAUUGCGGAACCGUGAUGUCCCCCUAGUUAUAGGAAAAGUAUACACAUACAACAAUCCUAACUACAGGAAUAUCCAAUUAGGAUAUAUUAAUAAAAAACGUAAAACUCGUCGGAAUAAGGCUGGACUAAAAAAUACUUCUGCUCAGAUUGCGGCCGAUGUGCGGGAUCGUGCCGGCUUAGUUAAAUAUCACUAUUGGAAUUGAUCCGGCAUAUUGAACCGAUUUAUUGUUUUUAAAAUUUAAAUAUGCUUAACAAAUGCUGCCCCAGAAGGAAUGAGAUCGCCAAAGCGAACGCAAAAAAACGGUCUUCGAGAACUUGAAUUGGAAAACUGUCAACCACGUUUUGAAUUACUUCUUCAGCAGCAAGCCCCUGUUUUUACCUUAAGAUUUCUAGUACAAGACUUAUUAAACGGGUUGUUCCCUUUGGCGAUGGGUUUAUGAUUAGUAGCUGAAUGAUUUGUCUAUUGUUGAUUUGUAAAAGCAAAGUCAUCGAAGAAACUAUAAC